UCCUUUCCAGGAGAGUCUCCUAUUGCACAGUUGAAACCUUUACAUACUCCAUCUCUCUAAACCUAGAGACUUCUCUCUGCUUCACUAGUAGUUAAAAGCUCUGAAUGGAGAAAGUUAGUCAGGGUCUUGGCAUGGGUAGAAAACAUUUAGGAACAUGGAAUAUAGGAGAUCUUCUAGAUAAUACUUAUAUCCCCAGGUUCAUACCUGUGACUCAGUUCAACAUUCUAAGUAUUCUGUUUCCCAAAGGCCAGUAUUUUCCCUACAGACGUUUAAUUGAAUUAAUAUUGUAUUUCAAUUUCUUAUUGAAAAUUCGUUGAUAGGGGACUUUGAAAAUAUUCCUCAAUGUGUACUCAAAAAUUCUGUUUUCCAAUUCCAUUUUCUGCAAAGGUUUUGGCAACAAAGGAGGCCCAACUAUAGAGUAAGCAUAACACUGUAAAUACUGUAUACCUAAUUCAAAUUAUAAAUUCCCAAAUCCUUAUUUUAACAAAAAAUUACCAGAUAUCAGAAAAGCAAAGCACAACAUGGACUAUUGAAUUCGGUUCUCUAGUCCCAUUUGAUAUCAGUUCUGCAAUAUCUACCUUCCUGAGUUUCAUUCCCAUACUUGAGGGUUUUGAGUAUUUUACCAUGAUUAGUUAUUAAGGCCAAACAUAAGAUAUAGGAGGCUGGGCAUCUAGAGGAAUGACUUGAGGACCAGUGACGCCUCAAUUUCAGAAGUUUCAAAAAACAGGAUGGAGUCUAUUUGGUGUUGCCAUUUGUGGAUUCUACAGUCUUGACCUAGAUAUGCAGAACCCAUGUCAAAAUUCCAGCUAAACUCAGAGCUGUAGGAGCCACCAAAAGUACAUACAUAUACAUCAGCCACCAAAACUAGACAAGAUUGAUGAAGGUAAGUGCAUUCUUCCAGGAAUCAGAUAUAGAUAUUUCCUGAGAGACACAACUAGAUUAUGCCAAAUACAGAAGUGAAUGCUAGUGGCAAACCAGUGAACUGAAAAUGGACUUCUUGUUUGUAGAUUUUCAGGAAAGAUUACAAGAGCUGAAGGGGCUUUAACACCAUAAGAACGACAAUGCUAAUGAACCAGAGCUUUCUGAUACUAGACCUAUGUUCAAGAAUGUACAUGGACAGAGUUAUGGCUCCAACUGCAUAUGUGGAAGAGGAUGGACUUGGACCUUUUUCUUCUGGGCAAAAAAAAAAUAAAAGCCAUCAGCUCUAAGGAAAAGAACAGUGCCCUUCGCAACGCCUGGUUUUUGGGAUAAAGAUAUUAAUGAUAUAAACUCUCUAACAGGAACCACUUGAAGCAGGGAAGUCCAGAAGCUUCUGACACGCUCCGAGCUCCGAGCUCCUGAUCCCAUGUGUGGAAGGCUCAGAUCAAUUCUAUCUCUUCAAGACAGGAGGGUAGCAUUAUUGUCCUCUGCAAGACUCAACAGAGCAGCCGACUGACACACGUGCACAGACAUACGGCCAAAUAUUGAAUGGAGCUCAGUGAGUCUCACUGAAGGGCUGAGGGAAGUGUAGACAGAGACAGAGGAGCACAAUGAUCUUCAGGUGGGGUCACUAAACCAGUCACUUGUCUGUGGAUCCUGUUCUCCUACCCGGGCUGCGUUUUCAGGACCUGGUGGGAGACGAUGAAUGUAGUUGAGUAGAGACUUGAUGUGCCAGGGGAGAGGGUGAACCCAGAGGGGUCCUCCACUCUCUCAGAUAA
Non-coding RNA from Rattus norvegicus (Norway rat), 1697 nucleotides. The record is from RefSeq and is a predicted model, not a curated record. Lineage: Eukaryota; Metazoa; Chordata; Mammalia; Rodentia; Muridae.